This 72-nucleotide transfer RNA is filed under the name Narcine timlei (blackspotted numbfish). Its description in RNAcentral is "tRNA-Leu". It matches the Rfam family "tRNA". Rfam says of the family: Transfer RNA (tRNA) molecules are approximately 80 nucleotides in length. Lineage: Eukaryota; Metazoa; Chordata; Chondrichthyes; Torpediniformes; Narcinidae. The record is from RNAcentral.
ACUUUUGAAAGAUAACAGUUAUCUAUUGGCUUUAGGAGUCAAGAAUCCUUGGUGCAAAUCCUAGCAAAAGUU